GAUGAACGCUAGCGGCAGGCCUAACACAUGCAAGUCGAGGGGUAACAUAGAGAAGCUUGCUUUUCUGAUGACGACCGGCGCACGGGUGCGUAACGCGUAUGCAACCUACCUCUUACUGGGGAAUAGCCCGGAGAAAUCCGGAUUAAUGCCCCAUAGUAUUAUUUAACCGCAUGGUUUGAAUAAUUAAAGGUUACGGUAAGAGAUGGGCAUGCGUCCCAUUAGCUAGAUGGUAAGGUAACGGCUUACCAUGGCAACGAUGGGUAGGGGGCCUGAGAGGGUGAUCCCCCACACUGGUACUGAGACACGGACCAG
This 312-nucleotide ribosomal RNA is filed under the name uncultured bacterium. RNAcentral's name for it is "bacterial SSU rRNA". It matches the Rfam family "Bacterial small subunit ribosomal RNA", at positions 28 to 334 of the family's 1533-position model. The record is from RNAcentral.